UGGUGGAGCGAUUUGUCUGGUUAAUUCCGAUAACGAACGAGACCGCCGCCUGCUAAAUAGACCCGCGAAUGGCUUUUCAUUGGCGAGGUCUUCUUAGAGGGACAAGUGUCGUAUAGGCACGCGAGAUUGAGCAAUAACA
Molecule: ribosomal RNA, 139 nt
Filed under: uncultured eukaryote
Lineage: Eukaryota
Description: partial 18S ribosomal RNA
Rfam family: Eukaryotic small subunit ribosomal RNA
Source: RNAcentral